GACGAACGCUGGCGGCGUGCUUAACACAUGCAAGUCGAACGAAGUGGCGAACGGGUGAGUAACGCGUAAUCAACCUGCCCUUCAGAGGGGGACACCCGUUGGAAACGACUCCUAAUACCGCAUACGGAAGGAGGGGCUUGCGUCUGAUUAGCUAGUUGGCGGGGCAAAGGCCCACCAAGGCGAGGAUCAGUAGCCGGUCUGAGCGGAAGAACGGCCACAAUGGGACUGGGACACGGCCCAGACUCCUACGGGAGGCAGCAGUGGGGAAUCUUCCGCAAUGGACGAAAGUCUGACGAAGCAACGCCGCGUGAGUGAUGACUGCCUUCGGGUUGUAAAGCUCUGUUAAUCGGGACGCGGUACCGGAAUAGAAAGCCACGGCUAACUACGUGCCAGCAGCCGCGGUAAUUC
RNAcentral lists this ribosomal RNA (408 nucleotides) under uncultured bacterium. RNAcentral's name for it is "partial 16S ribosomal RNA". It matches the Rfam family "Bacterial small subunit ribosomal RNA", at positions 28 to 526 of the family's 1533-position model. The record is from RNAcentral.